CUACGGGAGGCUGCAGUGGGGAAUAUUGGACAAUGGGGGAAACCCUGAUCCAGCAAUGCCGCGUGUGUGAAGAAGGCCUGCGGGUUGUAAAGCACUUUCGGUUGGGAGGACUGCUUCUAGCACUAAUAUUGUUGGAAGUUGACGUUACCUUCAGAAGAAGCACCGGCUAACUCCGUGCCAGCAGCCGCGGUAAUACGGAGGGUGCAGGCGUUAAUCGGAAUUACUGGGCUUAAAGCGCGCGUAGGCGGCUUGAUCAGUCGGGUGUGAAAGCCCCGGGCUUAACCUGGGAACUGCAUCCGAUACUGUCUAGCUUGAGUACAGGAGAGGAGAGUGGAAUUCCACAUGUAGCGGUGAAAUGCGUAGAUAUGUGGAGGAACACCAAUGGCGAAGGCAGCUCUCUGGCCUGAUACUGACGCUGAGGUGCGAAAGCGUGGGGAGCAAACAGGAUUAGAUACCCCUGUAGUC
RNAcentral lists this ribosomal RNA (465 nucleotides) under uncultured bacterium. RNAcentral's name for it is "partial 16S ribosomal RNA". It matches the Rfam family "Bacterial small subunit ribosomal RNA", at positions 339 to 795 of the family's 1533-position model. The record is from RNAcentral.